Long non-coding RNA from Alexandromys fortis (reed vole), 842 nucleotides. RefSeq lists it as uncharacterized. The transcript is spliced from 3 exons. The record is from RefSeq and is a predicted model, not a curated record. Lineage: Eukaryota; Metazoa; Chordata; Mammalia; Rodentia; Cricetidae.
GUAAGAAGCCACUGAGAGCCCAGGAGAGAAGGACGUGCGCUUCUUCCUUCUGAGGUCCACAGAAACCUGGACAGAGGAGCUCAUUGUCAGCCACCACGCUAAACACAGAGUCACGGACCAUGGACUGUAUGCUCCGCAACCAGCCAAAGCAGAAGAAACUGAGGCACAGGGAAUCUUAGCUAGUGCAAGCAGCAGUGCUAAGAUUUGAAUCCAUGCGGUGAAGUCUUCCUUUUCACGCCUGAAGUCUGUAGACAACGGACAUAAGCUGGAAAACAUUUGGACUUGCAAGGGAACCCAAGCCUAAAGUUGUAUUUUACCAUUUGUCCGUGUGACUUUUCUUGUAUCACUACUGAAAAUAUACGUGAAGGUGAAGCUUAGUGGGACUGGGGAGGUGGCUCAGUGGUUAGGACUGCUCUCGAGGACCUGAGUUCGGGUCCCAGUACUUACACUGGACUAGGAAAGUUUGGCUCAUAACUGCCUGUAACUCCAUCCUUGGGGGAAUCAAGGCCAUCUUCUGGCCUCUGGGGGCACCUUCACCCAUGUGCACGCGCGUAUCCACACACAAACAUACAUCUCUAGACACAUAAUUCAAAAUUAAAAUUUUCAUGGAGGGGAACAAUUUUAUGGGGCUUUACCCCUAGACAAAGAACUACAGGCAGCUAAGGAGAGCUGGGACUGAGAGAGUUGAUCUUCCCCAGGGAUGAGCCCCUUUAAUUCGCUACCCAGUGCCAACUGGCCAUCCCUGAAGUCAUAUGCGUCCAAGCGACAGUAAAUGGAUGCAGUGGGCUGUGUUUAUAUAUUUAUGCAUAUAUAUAUAAUGUAAGAGUAGCAACUAAAGAAAA